UGGGGAAUAUUGGACAAUGGGCGAAAGCCUGAUCCAGCCACGCCGCGUGAGUGAUGAAGGCCUUCGGGUUGUAAAGCUCUGUGGGGAGGGACGAAAAAGGUGGAGAAGACAACGCUCCGCCCUUGACGGUACCUCCUUAGCAAGCACCGGCUAACUCUGUGCCAGCAGCCGCGGUAAGACAGAGGGUGCGAACGUUGCUCGGAAUUACUGGGCGUAAAGCGCGUGUAGGCGGGUGAUCAAGUCAGGUGUGAAAUCCCUGGGCUCAACCCAGGAACUGCACUUGAAACUGGUCGCCUUGAGUGUUGGAGAGGGAAGCGGAAUUCCUGGUGUAGAGGUGAAAUUCGUAGAUAUCAGGAGGAACACCGGUGGCGAAGGCGGCUUCCUGGACAACUACUGACGCUGAGACGCGAAAGCGUGGGGAGCAAACAG
Molecule: ribosomal RNA, 429 nt
Filed under: uncultured bacterium
Lineage: Bacteria
Description: bacterial SSU rRNA
Rfam family: Bacterial small subunit ribosomal RNA
Source: RNAcentral